RNAcentral lists this ribosomal RNA (253 nucleotides) under uncultured bacterium. RNAcentral's name for it is "partial 16S ribosomal RNA". It matches the Rfam family "Bacterial small subunit ribosomal RNA", at positions 524 to 776 of the family's 1533-position model. The record is from RNAcentral.
UACGGAGGGUGCGAGCGUUAAUCGGAAUCACUGGGCGUAAAGCGCACGUAGGCUGCUUGGUAAGUCAGGGGUGAAAGCCCGCGGCUCAACCGCGGAAUUGCCUUUGAUACUGCCGAGCUAGAGUCCGGGAGAGGGUAGUGGAAUUCCAGGUGUAGGAGUGAAAUCCGUAGAGAUCUGGAGGAACAUCAGUGGCGAAGGCGACUACCUGGACCGGUACUGACGCUGAGGUGCGAAAGCGUGGGGAGCAAACAGG